RNAcentral lists this transfer RNA (88 nucleotides) under Pseudomonas syringae ICMP 19498. Its description in RNAcentral is "tRNA-Val". It matches the Rfam family "tRNA". Rfam says of the family: Transfer RNA (tRNA) molecules are approximately 80 nucleotides in length. The record is from RNAcentral. Lineage: Bacteria; Pseudomonadati; Pseudomonadota; Gammaproteobacteria; Pseudomonadales; Pseudomonadaceae.
AGGCACGUAGCUCAGUUGGUUAGAGCACCACCUUAGCACCACCUUGACAUGGUGGGGGUCGUUGGUUCGAGUCCAAUCGCGCCUACCA